RNAcentral lists this ribosomal RNA (1524 nucleotides) under Cutibacterium acnes. Its description in RNAcentral is "bacterial SSU rRNA". It matches the Rfam family "Bacterial small subunit ribosomal RNA". Lineage: Bacteria; Bacillati; Actinomycetota; Actinomycetes; Propionibacteriales; Propionibacteriaceae. The record is from RNAcentral.
UCAUUGGAGAGUUUGAUCCUGGCUCAGGACGAACGCUGGCGGCGUGCUUAACACAUGCAAGUCGAACGGAAAGGCCCUGCUUUUGUGGGGUGCUCGAGUGGCGAACGGGUGAGUAACACGUGAGUAACCUGCCCUUGACUUUGGGAUAACUUCAGGAAACUGGGGCUAAUACCAGGCUUCUGCGGGUCCUGUUGUGGGGCUGGGAAUUGCUGUGAUCGUUGGUGGUGGACUCGCGGCUUAUCAGCUUGUUGGUGGGGUAGUGGCUUACCAAGGCUUUGACGGGUAGCCGGCCUGAGAGGGUGACCGGCCACAUUGGGACUGAGAUACGGCCCAGACUCCUACGGGAGGCAGCAGUGGGGAAUAUUGCACAAUGGGCGGAAGCCUGAUGCAGCAACGCCGCGUGCGGGAUGACGGCCUUCGGGUUGUAAACCGCUUUCGCCUGUGACGAAGCGUGAGUGACGGUAAUGGGUAAAGAAGCACCGGCUAACUACGUGCCAGCAGCCGCGGUGAUACGUAGGGUGCGAGCGUUGUCCGGAUUUAUUGGGCGUAAAGGGCUCGUAGGUGGUUGAUCGCGUCGGAAGUGUAAUCUUGGGGCUUAACCCUGAGCGUGCUUUCGAUACGGGUUGACUUGAGGAAGGUAGGGGAGAAUGGAAUUCCUGGUGGAGCGGUGGAAUGCGCAGAUAUCAGGAGGAACACCAGUGGCGAAGGCGGUUCUCUGGGCCUUUCCUGACGCUGAGGAGCGAAAGCGUGGGGAGCGAACAGGCUUAGAUACCCUGGUAGUCCACGCUGUAAACGGUGGGUACUAGGUGUGGGGUCCAUUCCACGGGUUCCGUGCCGUAGCUAACGCUUUAAGUACCCCGCCUGGGGAGUACGGCCGCAAGGCUAAAACUCAAAGGAAUUGACGGGGCCCCGCACAAGCGGCGGAGCAUGCGGAUUAAUUCGAUGCAACGCGUAGAACCUUACCUGGGUUUGACAUGGAUCGGGAGUGCUCAGAGAUGGGUGUGCCUCUUUUGGGGUCGGUUCACAGGUGGUGCAUGGCUGUCGUCAGCUCGUGUCGUGAGAUGUUGGGUUAAGUCCCGCAACGAGCGCAACCCUUGUUCACUGUUGCCAGCACGUUAUGGUGGGGACUCAGUGGAGACCGCCGGGGUCAACUCGGAGGAAGGUGGGGAUGACGUCAAGUCAUCAUGCCCCUUAUGUCCAGGGCUUCACGCAUGCUACAAUGGCUGGUACAGAGAGUGGCGAGCCUGUGAGGGUGAGCGAAUCUCGGAAAGCCGGUCUCAGUUCGGAUUGGGGUCUGCAACUCGACCUCAUGAAGUCGGAGUCGCUAGUAAUCGCAGAUCAGCAACGCUGCGGUGAAUACGUUCCCGGGGCUUGUACACACCGCCCGUCAAGUCAUGAAAGUUGGUAACACCCGAAGCCGGUGGCCUAACCGUUGUGGGGGAGCCGUCGAAGGUGGGACUGGUGAUUAGGACUAAGUCGUAACAAGGUAGCCGUACCGGAAGGUGCGGCUGGAUCACCUCCUUU